This 468-nucleotide ribosomal RNA is filed under the name uncultured bacterium. RNAcentral describes it as "partial 16S ribosomal RNA". It matches the Rfam family "Bacterial small subunit ribosomal RNA", at positions 28 to 507 of the family's 1533-position model. The record is from RNAcentral.
GACGAACGCUGGCGGCGUGCUUAACACAUGCAAGUCGAACGGAAAGGCCCUGCUUUUGUGGGGUGCUCGAGUGGCGAACGGGUGAGUAACACGUGAGUAACCUGCCCUUGACUUUGGGAUAACUUCAGGAAACUGGGGCUAAUACCGGAUAGGAGCUCCUGCUGCAUGGUGGGGGUUGGAAAGUUUCGGCGGUUGGGGAUGGACUCGCGGCUUACCAGCUUGUUGGUGGGGUAGUGGCUUACCAAGGCUUUGACGGGUAGCCGGCCUGAGAGGGUGACCGGCCACAUUGGGACUGAGAUACGGCCCAGACUCCUACGGGAGGCAGCAGUGGGGAAUAUUGCACAAUGGGCGGAAGCCUGAUGCAGCAACGCCGCGUGCGGGAUGACGGCCUUCGGGUUGUAAACCGCUUUCGCCUGUGACGAAGCGUGAGUGACGGUAAUGGGUAAAGAGGCACCGGCUAACUACGUG